Long non-coding RNA from Bos taurus (domestic cattle), 1821 nucleotides. Lineage: Eukaryota; Metazoa; Chordata; Mammalia; Artiodactyla; Bovidae. The record is from Ensembl.
UGAGGACUCCAGCACUUGAACCUGUCUGAGACAACUGUGAGGGGCUGACUCUGAGGAGGGCACUUGGCUCUCCUUUCCACAGUUGGCAGAGGCUGGAAGGGAGGGAAUUAUUUCAGUUAAGAAUCAAAAUGGAUCAAGCUGGCACAGCUUGUGCAUCAGCAAGCACAAUGUGUGUUUGGGGGGAAGCACCAAGAUUAAUGGAUGUGUUUUGUGGAGCUGCGGUGGGACUUCCCGAUACUGUAAUGCUCUACCAGAAGAAUGAGGACAAAGGCAAGCGCUGGCACACUCGCAAAGACUCUGCCUUCACAUGAAGUGCAGGAAGGACAUGAAUCACAUUCUACCCCACAGUAGCAAAGCCACUAGAGUAGGAACCAUAAAUACAUCCCCCACUGCUCCUGGAGCUGCCAGGUGUGGUGAUCUCCUGGACUUACCUGACAACACAAGAGCGGCAACAAGCCAGAGGUGCAGUAACAAGCAAUAUUCUGUGAGUGUGUGAGGUGUGGAGAUGUUCCAGAGUGGCUUUCAUAUAGAGAUGAAUUUCUCAUAAUCACAUAAAGACUAUGUACAGUAACUUUAGGCUUAACUUCUCUGUGUGUGUACACACACACACAUGUGUUUGCUUUAUAUAUAUUCACAACACAUUUUUAGCUCUUCUGUAACUUUCCAUUUUGCAAUAAAUCAAAUUGGAGCCUUGGUGUGAGCCUUGGUCAGGGAACCAAGAUCCUGCAUACCACAUGGUCAACAAAAAGAAAAAUGAAAUAAGGAACAUUUCACUAAUAUUUAUCACUCCAGGAUUUCAUUACUCCUAUUAAGAUUAGGGAACUAAAUUCCGUGUAUGUAUCUACUGAUCAGCUUACAUAUGAUGAUCACCACGAAGUUUCAAGGAUGGCAGUCCUGAUGUUUACUAAUUGUUAAGGCAUAUGCAUUUCAUAUAUUUUUGACACAUUAAAAUACCAAAGGAAAUUAUAAUGUUUAGAACACAAGUGCCAACAUAGCCAUUUAUUCAUUUUAUGACUGUCCAAUCACUUAUUUAAUACUUACUGAAUUGAUUAUUGCCAACAAACAAAUAAUCAAAACCAUGUUCAUGAAAUUCCACAUUCCAGUCGAAGAGUCUGCCACAGAGAGGAGGGCAGAGGCUUGAUUAGACAGUAAAGAGUUUGUCCUUUAUUUGUGGUGCAAUCUAAAGUCACUGAAGGAUUUAAGCAAGGUAAUGGUAUGAUCUCAUUUGUGCUGAAUGUUUUAAAAUGAUCAUUUUGGCUGCUGUCUAGAGAAUAAACUAUGGCAGAGCAAGGGUAGAAACAGGGCCCAUUUUAAAGUAAACUGUACUAGCUUAGAAAACAAUUGACAGUGUUUCAAACUAAUAUAUUAGGAGGUUGAGAGAAGAGGAUGCACAUGUAUUUGGGGCAUUGAACUAACACAAUUUGCUAAUAGAUUGUACUUAAAGGGAGAGAGAAAGGGGAAAGUUGAGGACAAAUUUUAUCCUAUUGUCUGGCCAACUGGAUGGCUGGAGAUGCCUGUAACUGAUAUAUUAAUAUUGGAAAGCCAUGGGAAAAGAAGUCUAGGGUGGGGUAUCAGGAGUCCUAUUUUCAAACACACUGAGUUUGAUAUCCAUAUGAAGAUGUCUGGGAGGUAGCUGGAUAUUGGAAUCUGGCAUUCAGAAGGGAGGGCAGGGUUGGAGAUGUAAAUAUGGGAGCCAUGAAUGUACAAGUGGCAUUGAAAGCCAUGGAACAGGAUGAAUUAUGCAGAGAAAUCAUGUAAAAUAGACAAGAAGACCCAGAAGCUCAAUCUUUUAGAAACUGGGAAGGAGUAGCAGAGUCAGAA